AGUCGACGGCAGCACAGGGAGCUUGCUCCCGGGUGGCGAGUGGCGCACGGGUGAGUAAUACAUCGGAACGUGUCCUGUUGUGGGGGAUAACUGCUCGAAAGGGUGGCUAAUACCGCAUGAGACCUGAGGGUGAAAGCGGGGGAUCGCAAGACCUCGCGCAAUUGGAGCGGCCGAUGCCCGAUUAGCUAGUUGGUGAGGUAAAGGCUCACCAAGGCGACGAUCGGUAGCUGGUCUGAGAGGACGACCAGCCACACUGGGACUGAGACACGGCCCAGACUCCUACGGGAGGCAGCAGUGGGGAAUUUUGGACAAUGGGGGCAACCCUGAUCCAGCCAUGCCGCGUGCAGGAUGAAGGCCUUCGGGUUGUAAACUGCUUUUGUCAGGGACGAAAAGGAUCGUGAUAAUACCAUGGUCUGCUGACGGUACCUGAAGAAUAAGCACCGGCUAACUACGUGCCAGCAGCCGCGGUAAUACGUAGGGUGCAAGCGUUAAUCGGAAUUACUGGGCGUAAAGCGUGCGCAGGCGGUUCUGUAAGACAGAUGUGAAAUCCCCGGGCUCAACCUGGGAAUUGCAUUUGUGACUG
RNAcentral lists this ribosomal RNA (583 nucleotides) under uncultured bacterium. Its description in RNAcentral is "bacterial SSU rRNA". It matches the Rfam family "Bacterial small subunit ribosomal RNA", at positions 60 to 635 of the family's 1533-position model. The record is from RNAcentral.